This is a ribosomal RNA of 603 nucleotides. The stretch from base 234 to 387 matches the Rfam family "5.8S ribosomal RNA".
UACUGCGGAAGGAUCAUUAACCUUUCAAAUCAGGGUGCGGCGCGGCCCCCGAGGAGCGGAAACAAUCCUUGGGAGGUAUGCGGGGGCUUCGAGCCCCCCAUUUACGCACGCACGACUGCCAUCCUUACUUUACGAGCACCUUCUGUUCUCCCUCGGCGGGGCAACCUGCCGUUGGAACCGAAUAAACUCUUUUUGCAUCUAGCAUUACCUGUUCCGAAACAAACAAUCGUUACAACUUUCAACAAUGGAUCUCUUGGCUCUGGCAUCGAUGAAGAACGCAGCGAAAUGCGAUAAGUAGUGUGAAUUGCAGAAUUCAGUGAAUCAUCGAAUCUUUGAACGCACAUUGCGCCCCUCGGUAUUCCGUGGGGCAUGCCUGUUCGAGCGUCAUCUACACCCUCAAGCUCUGCUUGGUGUUGGGCGUCUGUCCCGCCUCCGCGCGUGGACUCGCCCCAAAUUCAUUGGCAGCGGUCCUUGCCUCCUCUCGCGCAGCACAUUGCGCUUCUCGAGGGGCUACGGCUCGCGUCCAACAAGCACAUUUACCGUCUUUGACCUCGGAUCAGGUAGGGAUACCCGCUGAACUUAAGCAUAUCAUAACCCGGAAGG